RNAcentral lists this non-coding RNA (21 nucleotides) under Sus scrofa (pig). Its record names the gene ssc-miR-378b-3p. RNAcentral also lists the same sequence under 2 other names. The record is from miRBase by way of RNAcentral. Lineage: Eukaryota; Metazoa; Chordata; Mammalia; Artiodactyla; Suidae.
ACUGGACUUGGAGUCAGAAGU